Molecule: long non-coding RNA, 240 nt
Filed under: Bos taurus (domestic cattle)
Lineage: Eukaryota; Metazoa; Chordata; Mammalia; Artiodactyla; Bovidae
Description: long non-coding RNA NONBTAT001797
Source: RNAcentral
CUUAGGCAUCUACAAGACAGAGCGAACCGACUUGGGAAUCCAGAACAAAGUUCCAAACUGAUUUUGGCUGUGCUUUAAAAGUACCAAAAAGGCAAUGAGUAUUUAUAGCAUUAAAGUCACAUAUGAGCUGUGUCUAGACAAGGAUUGCAUGUUUGUGUAUGCUUUUUCUAGGAUGAGUGUUUACAGCUUUUAUUCUGAGCAGUUUCUAUAUCCCCCCCACUCCCAUUUAAGCCUCACUAG